This 1343-nucleotide ribosomal RNA is filed under the name uncultured bacterium. RNAcentral describes it as "16S ribosomal RNA". It matches the Rfam family "Bacterial small subunit ribosomal RNA", at positions 28 to 1378 of the family's 1533-position model. The record is from RNAcentral.
GACGAACGCUUGCGGCGUGCUUAACACAUGCAAGUCGAACGGAAAGGCCCUGCUUUUGUGGGGUGCUCGAGUGGCGAACGGGUGAGUAACACGUGAGUAACCUGCCCUUGACUUUGGGACAACUUCAGGAAACUGGGGCUAAUACCGGAUAGGAGCUCCUGCUGCAUGGUGGGGGUUGGAAAGUUUCGGCGGUUGGGGAUGGACUCGCGGCUUAUCAGCUUGUUGGUGGGGUAGUGGCUUACCAAGGCUUUGACGGGUAGCCGGCCUGAGAGGGUGACCGGCCACAUUGGGACUGAGAUACGGCCCAGACUCCUACGGGAGGCAGCGGUGGGGAAUAUUGCACAAUGGGCGGAAGCCUGAUGCAGCAACGCCGCGUGCGGGAUGACGGCCUUCGGGUUGUAAACCGCUUUCGCCUGUGACGAAGCGUGAGUGACGGUAAUGGGUAAAGAAGCACCGGCUAACUACGUGCCAGCAGCCGCGGUGAUACGUAGGGUGCGAGCGUUGUCCGGAUUUAUUGGGCGUAAAGGGCUCGUAGGUGGUUGAUCGCGUCGGAAGUGUAAUCUUGGGGCUUAACCCUGAGCGUGCUUUCGAUACGGGUUGACUUGAGGAAGGUAGGGGAGAAUGGAAUUCCUGGUGGAGCGGUGGAAUGCGCAGAUAUCAGGAGGAACACCAGUGGCGAAGGCGGUUCUCUGGGCCUUUCCUGACGCUGAGGAGCGAAAGCGUGGGGAGCGAACAGGCUUAGAUACCCUGGUAGUCCACGCUGUAAACGGUGGGUACUAGGUGUGGGGUCCAUUCCACGGGUUCCGUGCCGUAGCUAACGCUUUAAGUACCCCGCCUGGGGAGUACGGCCGCAAGGCUAAAACUCAAAGGAAUUGACGGAGCCCCGCACAAGCGGCGGAGCAUGCGGAUUAAUUCGAUGCAACGCGUAGAACCUUACCUGGGUUUGACAUGGAUCGGGAGUGCUCAGAGAUGGGUGUGCCUCUUUUGGGGUCGGUUCACAGGUGGUGCAUGGCUGUCGUCAGCUCGUGUCGUGAGAUGUUGGGUUAAGUCCCGCAACGAGCGCAACCCUUGUUCACUGUUGCCAGCACGUUAUGGUGGGGACUCAGUGGAGACCGCCGGGGUCAACUCGGAGGAAGGUGGGGAUGACGUCAAGUCAUCAUGCCCCUUAUGUCCAGGGCUUCACGCAUGCUACAAUGGCUGGUACAGAGAGUGGCGAGCCUGUGAGGGUGAACGAAUCUCGGAAAGCCGGUCUCAGUUCGGAUUGGGGUCUGCAACUCGACCUCAUGAAGUCGGAGUCGCUAGUAAUCGCGGAUCAGCAACGCUGCGGUGAAUACGUUCCCGGG